This 22-nucleotide small nuclear RNA is filed under the name Arabidopsis thaliana (thale cress). Its description in RNAcentral is "snRNA_01380". Lineage: Eukaryota; Viridiplantae; Streptophyta; Magnoliopsida; Brassicales; Brassicaceae. The record is from RNAcentral.
AGCCGUCUGCAUUUCUAACUAU